Molecule: ribosomal RNA, 1482 nt
Filed under: metagenome
Description: bacterial SSU rRNA
Rfam family: Bacterial small subunit ribosomal RNA
Source: RNAcentral
AGAGUUUGAUCCUGGCUCAGAUUGAACGCUGGCGGCAUGCCUUACACAUGCAAGUCGAACGGUAACAGGUUAAGCUGACGAGUGGCGAACGGGUGAGUAAUGUAUCGGAACGUGCCCAGUCGUGGGGGAUAACUACUCGAAAGAGUGGCUAAUACCGCAUACGACCUGAGGGUGAAAGCGGGGGAUCGCAAGACCUCGCGCGAUUGGAGCGGCCGAUAUCAGAUUAGCUAGUUGGUGGGGUAAGAGCCCACCAAGGCGACGAUCUGUAGCUGGUCUGAGAGGACGACCAGCCACACUGGGACUGAGACGCGGCCCAGACUCCUACGGGAGGCAGCAGUGGGGAAUUUUGGACAAUGGACGAAAGUCUGAUCCAGCCAUGCCGCGUGUGGGAAGAAGGCCUUCGGGUUGUAAACCACUUUUGUCAGGGAAGAAACGGCUCUUACUAAUAUUAGGAGCUAAUGACGGUACCUGAAGAAUAAGCACCGGCUAACUACGUGCCAGCAGCCGCGGUAAUACGUAGGGUGCAAGCGUUAAUCGGAAUUACUGGGCGUAAAGCGUGCGCAGGCGGUUAUGCAAGACAGAGGUGAAAUCCCCGGGCUCAACCUGGGAACUGCCUUUGUGACUGCAUAGCUAGAGUACGGUAGAGGGGGAUGGAAUUCCGCGUGUAGCAGUGAAAUGCGUAGAUAUGCGGAGGAACACCGAUGGCGAAGGCAAUCCCCUGGACCUGUACUGACGCUCAUGCACGAAAGCGUGGGGAGCAAACAGGAUUAGAUACCCUGGUAGUCCACGCCCUAAACGAUGUCAACUGGUUGUUGGGAGGGUUUCUUCUCAGUAACGUAGCUAACGCGUGAAGUUGACCGCCUGGGGAGUACGGCCGCAAGGUUGAAACUCAAAGGAAUUGACGGGGACCCGCACAAGCGGUGGAUGAUGUGGUUUAAUUCGAUGCAACGCGAAAAACCUUACCUACCCUUGACAUGUCAGAGAUCCUGAAGAGAUUUGGGAGUGCUCGAAAGAGAAUCUGAACACAGGUGCUGCAUGGCCGUCGUCAGCUCGUGUCGUGAGAUGUUGGGUUAAGUCCCGCAACGAGCGCAACCCUUGUCAUUAGUUGCUACGAAAGGGCACUCUAAUGAGACUGCCGGUGACAAACCGGAGGAAGGUGGGGAUGACGUCAGGUCAUCAUGGCCCUUAUGGGUAGGGCUACACACGUCAUACAAUGGCCGGGACAGAGGGCUGCCAACCCGCGAGGGGGAGCCAAUCCCAGAAACCCGGUCGUAGUCCGGAUCGUAGUCUGCAGCUCGACUGCGUGAAGUCGGAAUCGCUAGUAAUCGCGGAUCAGCUUGCCGCGGUGAAUACGUUCCCGGGUCUUGUACACACCGCCCGUCACACCAUGGGAGCGGGUUCUGCCAGAAGUAGUUAGCCUAACCGCAAGGGGGGCGAUUACCACGGCAGGGUUCGUGACUGGGGUGAAGUCGUAACAAGGUA